Molecule: long non-coding RNA, 1937 nt
Filed under: Gossypium barbadense (sea-island cotton)
Lineage: Eukaryota; Viridiplantae; Streptophyta; Magnoliopsida; Malvales; Malvaceae
Description: long non-coding RNA (GBAR_LNC013182)
Source: RNAcentral
CAAAUUUACCUAACCCAAUUGUUUGAAAACCUUGUCAAAACAAUUUAUCUGGUUUUCAAUUGUUACAUAGAGUCUAAACCACUUUAACUUCACCCUCACGCCUCUACUUCAUCAUCCACGCACAGGCUUAUAUAUAUAUAUAAUAAGAUGGGUUUAUAAGCAUUACUUCCUAAGAGUAUCCUUUCUUAGCACUCUUAAUGGUUCAUUUCAACAAAACCAAAAGUCCUUGUUUGGAGCAGAGCAUCGUUGCGAGUGCUAAUCACCUAGCACGGUGCUUUCCCUGACCAGCCAAUGAGGUUCGUUCACAGCUUGUUUUUCUCAAGAGUUGGCUCCCUAUAUAAAUUUCAGUGACCUUGGAAAAUUAUCUCAUACACGUACUGCUUGUUUCUCUCCUACUUCUCUUUUGCUUUCCAUUAAUGAUAAUACUCUGGAAUGAUAUAUUUUUAUGUAUUAAUUACAUAUUUAUUUUGAGUAUCCUACUAAUUUUAGCUAUUUAUAGUUUUUUAUCUUGUAGGGACUAAAUUGAAGGUAAAAGGAAAUUUAGGAGCAAAAAUCAUGAAUUUGAAGAUAAAAUGAGACAGCAUGUGAAAUAGGAAAGAAGUGGUGCCGAAAAUACAAAUUGUGGAAGACUUGGGGGCAACAGUUCAAAGAAGAAAUUUUAUAAACAUAAGACUCUAUUUAAAUUUUAAUUAUAUGAGGAUUAUUGUUAAGAUUAUUAUUUAGAGUUAAUUUCGGUUUUUAUCUUUAUUUAUCUUUUAGAAUUUAGAUAGGAAUAAAUUAAGUCUUUUGAGUACUAUAAAUAGGGGAUGGAGUGAUAUAAAUUUCACUCAUCUUUUCGGUAAAAAUUCUCUCUCCCAAAAAGCUCUAGCCUUUGUUCCUUUCAUUUAUUCAAUAAAAUUCUAUUUUUUAAGUUUAUUUCUUUUUCUCAAAAAGCAUGAGUCACUAAAUUCAUUUAGCCAAAGUUUAUUGAGAUUCCUCAAAAGGGUUGAUGAAGCUUAGAAUCCGCACUAAGCCUUUUCAACGAGUAUUCAUCGUUUCUCUGUACUACGGGAUUGACGCUUUUGUCCAUGUCCCUUCAAAAGUGAUAUUUUCAUCUUGUGCAAAGACGACCGCUUUGUUUUUGGAAGGUUACACAAUCGAUUUGUUAGCUUAUUAUGUCAGUGGUUGUCGAGCCCAAGAGACAAAAUGGCGUGGCAUUCGCCAUUGAGAAGUGAUGAUCUAGUGUAAGACAGUCUCACAAAAGCGACGGUUGACUAGAGUUAGGUUCUCUUAAAUUUUAAGUCUAAAAUCUAAGUGGAGCUGGUGGUUGUAGGUGUCCUCUUCCACUAUAAUUGGCUUAUUCUGUUUGAGAAUGAUCACCUAAAAGCCUAGGAUUGAACCAAAGGAGGAUCAAGAUAAAUGGAGGUUGGAAUAUCUCCAUCAAAAACUCUUUUUUCUCAACUUUGUUUAUUUUUACAAUUUCAAUUUCAAUUUGCACUAUCUCAAUUCAACCAAACUUUUAAUUUUUUUUUAUUUUUUUCCAGGCACGCUAUUUUUCUUGGGCAUGACUUUACCUGAGAUCUUGAGGAACAAGAACUUGUACAAGUCCAGUCUCUGAGGAUUUGACCCUACUUCCCUUAUACUAUUCUUUUCGUUAAGGAUAGGAUAUUUUGUUGCUUUCAAUGACGCAUCAGUUAAGCUUGUCACUUUGUUCUCAAUUAAUCUCAUUAUUAAGUUCUUUAUGUUUCUACAUAUUACUACAAGAAUAUCAUUCACCAAUGAUUUUUUUUUAUGCUAUAUAAGUUCUCCUUCAAAGGGGGUGGAAGGGUGUUCUUGAUAUUUACUAAUUUGAAGUUAACAAAGGAAUUAAUAAUGAUCUCAACAUAUGUUUUCAGAAUCAAAACAUACAAUUUUAACUAGUUAAUCACUUUUGCUUUGGAUCUCAUGCAUAUUUAGAC